This 513-nucleotide ribosomal RNA is filed under the name uncultured microorganism. Its description in RNAcentral is "bacterial SSU rRNA". It matches the Rfam family "Bacterial small subunit ribosomal RNA", at positions 9 to 504 of the family's 1533-position model. The record is from RNAcentral.
GAGUUUGAUCUUGGCUCAGGAUGAACGCUGGCGGCGUGCCUAAUACAUGCAAGUCGAGCGAACGGACGAGAAGCUUGCUUCUCUGAUGUUAGCGGCGGACGGGUGAGUAACACGUGGGUAACCUACCUAUAAGACUGGGAUAACUCCGGGAAACCGGGGCUAAUACCGGAUAACACAUGAAACCGCAUGGUUUCAUGAUGAAAGACGGUCUUGCUGUCACUUAUAGAUGGAUCCGCGCUGCAUUAGCUAGUUGGUAAGGUAACGGCUUACCAAGGCAACGAUGCAUAGCCGACCUGAGAGGGUGAUCGGCCACACUGGAACUGAGACACGGUCCAGACUCCUACGGGAGGCAGCAGUAGGGAAUCUUCCGCAAUGGGCGAAAGCCUGACGGAGCAACGCCGCGUGAGUGAUGAAGGUCUUCGGAUCGUAAAACUCUGUUAUUAGGGAAGAACAUAUGUGUAAGUAACUGUGCACAUCUUGACGGUACCUAAUCAGAAAGCCACGGCUAACUAC